UACGUAGGUGGCGAGCGUUGUCCGGAUUUACUGGGCGUAAAGAGCGCGCAGGCGGUCGUGCAAGUCGGAUGUGAAAGCCCCCGGCUCAACUGGGGAGGGUCAUUCGAUACUGCUCGACUCGAAGGCGGGAGAGGGAAGCGGAAUUCCCGGUGUAGUGGUGAAAUGCGUAGAUAUCGGGAGGAACACCAGUGGCGAAGGCGGCUUCCUGGCCCGUUCUUGACGCUGAGGCGCGAAAGCUAGGGGAGCGAACGGG
Molecule: ribosomal RNA, 253 nt
Filed under: uncultured bacterium
Lineage: Bacteria
Description: partial 16S ribosomal RNA
Rfam family: Bacterial small subunit ribosomal RNA
Source: RNAcentral